GAGACAAUGGCCAACAACCCACCUAUGGAGAUUGGGAUGGAUUUCAUGCGUGAAGAAAUGGAAGAAGGUGGUGUUUUACACAACACUGACCAAAUUGAUAUGACAUUUCGGGUUGAGAAUAGGGCAGAUGAUGAUAUGGGUGAUGAGGAUGAUGACAUGGGAGAUGAGGGUGAGGAAGAUGAAGAUGAUGAUGAUGGAGAGGAUGAGGAUGAGGAUAUUGCUGAAGAUGGUACUGGCAUGAUGUCUCUAGCAGAUACUGAUGUGGAAGACCAUGAUGAUACUGGUUUGGGGGAUGACUACAAUGAUGAGAUGAUUGAUGAAGAUGAUGAUUUUCAUGAGCAUCGUGUCAUAGAGGUUAGGUGGAGGGAAGCCUUUGACGGGCUAGAUCAUUUACAGGUCCUUGGCCAACCUGGAGCUGCAAGCAAUCUAAUUGAUGUUGCAGCUGAGCCUUUCGAAGGGGUGAAUGUGGAUGACCUUUUUGGUCUUCCUAGGCCUUUGGGUUUUGAGCGCCGGCGUCAGAGUGUUAGACCUUCCUUUGAGCGUUCUGUCACUGAAGCAAAUGGACUUCAACAUCCACUUCUCCUAAGGCCAUCACAAUCAGGGGAUCCAGUUUCUAUGUGGUCAUCAGGUGGGCAUUCAUCCAGGGAUUUAGAAGCCCUUUCAGCUGGGAGCUUUGAUGUAGCUCACUUUUACAUGUUUGAUGCUCCUGUUCUUCCAUAUGAUCAUGUGUCAAGUAGUCUCUUUGGUGAUCGUUUGGGUAGUGCAGUACCCCCAUCUUUGACUGAUUAUUCUGUAGGCAUGGACUCAUUGCAGAUACAGGGCCGAAG
RNAcentral lists this unclassified non-coding RNA (827 nucleotides) under Hevea brasiliensis (rubber tree). Lineage: Eukaryota; Viridiplantae; Streptophyta; Magnoliopsida; Malpighiales; Euphorbiaceae. The record is from RNAcentral.